GUUGCUUUUUAAUGGUGAACCCCUUCAUAAACCAAAUGAGGGAUGUUCAAGUUUCCGAAGCAUAGAUCAAAUGUCAGUAUUAAACAGCAUGGUGCAUUUCCAGUUGCACAUUGCUACCUGUCUCCUGCAACAAAU
This is a small nucleolar RNA of Ipomoea nil (Japanese morning glory), 135 nucleotides long. It matches the Rfam family "small nucleolar RNA snoR137". The record is from Rfam. NCBI's taxonomy places the organism in Eukaryota, Viridiplantae, Streptophyta, Magnoliopsida, Solanales, Convolvulaceae.